RNAcentral lists this long non-coding RNA (3844 nucleotides) under Daucus carota (carrot). RNAcentral's name for it is "long non-coding RNA (DCAR_LNC004696)". The record is from RNAcentral. Lineage: Eukaryota; Viridiplantae; Streptophyta; Magnoliopsida; Apiales; Apiaceae.
GUAAGACCCUUGUGUGGUUUUAUCGAAUUUUGGACUUGGAGUGUUGGGGCGACUCCAAGGGCGGUCGCUGAGCUGGGCAGCGACCAGGCGCAGGUAGAGCGCAGGUAGGGCGCUGGUGGGCGACGGCGCCUGAAGGGUGGAAUUAACCCGGGCUGAUGGAUGCUUGGGGUAAAUUGUGGGAAUCUAAGUGCUAAAGAGUUGGAGUCUUGGGCUUAGUAAAUUGGGCAGGAUGCUCAGGCCAAGUGAGGGAUGCACUUGGGCCAAAGUUGGAGUUGCGUGCAUAGGCGCUCGGGCUGCGUCCUAUGGGCGUCUGGACACUAUUGCUAAGUGUUUGUGGGCUAAAUCAGAUGGACUUGAAGGCCCAAAUUGGUGGGUUAAUGUGGGCUGAGUUGGAUGGCUAAAAAGAAGGCUGAGUGGGGCAAAGAAACUGCUUGGAACUGCUCAUAACCGCUGGUAACUGCCACAACUGCUCUGCAUAGGCGCUGGAGCCCUUGGGCGCGCGGGAAACGCCUUGGGGGCGCCUGGAGUGUAUUUAAAAUAUUUAGAUAGGCAUUCUAAAUAUUGUGGAUGAUAGUACUUGGUGUACUAGGCUAUUUUACAAGUUCAAACGGACCUGCACUUGUAAUAUUUUGUAUGCUAGGCAGUAGGCAAGUCUGUAAGCAUAUAUUUGGGUUGUAUCCUUGAAUUGUUGGGGCAAUAAAAGGUUGGGCUAGUUUGCCUGUAUAUUGUUGUUGUGUGUUUACAUUUGCUUGGUAAUUAAACACACUUGCACACACGGGGUUGUGUUGGGGAAAGGCUGACUGUUCUUAGACUCGGAGGCGCUACGUGGACGCAACAGGGGCAUUUCGUGGACGCUCGUGGGCAUUCUGUGAGCGCUGUGUUAAGGGCAGGCCGCGCAGGGGCAAAAAGUUAAGGGUGAGAACUUACCCCUGUGACAACUGGUAUCAGAGCUGUGUUGUUAGAUUGUGGGAUAUCGAAUCAUGGCUGGUGGAAAUUCUCUGGGAGAAAGGGUUGCAAGGUUGGAGGAAUUCGUGGGAACUCCUGUGAACCCUGAUGAAAUUUGUUUGGCGAAUCAGAUUCAAGUUCUACGGACCGAACUUGCUGAGUUUAAGGAAAUGGUUGCGGGUGUCUCGGCUUCAAAUGAGAAUAAGUUUGUUGAUCUCUUUGCUACGGUUGCUGCUUCUUCUGAUGGCUUGAAGGAUCAAGUGAAGAAGUUGGGAGACGAACUUACAAUCAUGAAGGGGGCCGUGGCAAGCAACAUGUUUAGCAGUGCUAGGGAGGGGCACUCUAAGGUGAAAAUUCCAGAACCGAAGUCCUAUGGUGGCGCACGGGUUGCAAAGGAUCUGGAGAACUUUUUGUGGGACAUGGAGCAGUACUUCAAGGCUGCCCAUAUUGAUGAAAGGGAGCAAGUUUCAAUCACGAGUAUGUAUUUGGUUGGCGAUGCAAAAUUGUGGUGGCGGACUCGUACGGAUGGUGAUGCGAGUGUGGACAGGCCGGUGAUAACCACUUUUGAGGCAUUGUAGAAGGAAUGCCACUUAAUGCUUCUUGGCUUGCUAGAGAAAGUUUAAGGAAUCUCAAACAAACGGGAUCUGUUCGAGAUUAUGUGAAAGAAUUCAGUUCUUUGUUGUUGGAUAUAAAGAACAUGUCGGAUGAAGACAAGUUGUUCAAUUUCUUGGCCGGUCUAAAGCCUUGGGCGCAGGCAGAAUUGAGAAGGCAGGCUGUGAAAGACUUGCCAUCUGCUGUGGCUGCUGCUGAUAGUUUGGUGGACUACAAGCAGGCUGGUUCGGGUGACGCUGAAAGGGGUAAAAACAGUGGCAAGAAUCACAAGGAUGAGGGCAGGUUCAAGAAGAAGGACAAGGGAAAUGGCGCUGGGGACGCUAAGGAUGGGAAAUACGCUCCAAGGGAGGGCGACAAGGGUUGUUUCAUAUGUGACGGACCACAUUAUGCUAGGAACUGCCCAAGGAAGGAAAAAGUGAAUGCUCUACGUGUGGAGGAGCAGAAUGAGGAAAAUAAUAGUGAAAGCGAGGGGCCUAUGGUGAGGGCUAACAUCUUGCGUUUGGUAGUGCUAAGGACCGAAAAAUCCGUGGAGGGGGAUGGACUAAUGUAUGUCAAGGCCUUAGUGAAUGGGGUGGCUGCGAUGGCUUUGGUGGACACGGGUGCCACAAAUAGCUUCAUUUCGACGGACUGUGCAAAUGAGCUGGGGUUGAGUUUGGCGCCGAGUACAAAUCAGAUUAAGACGGCUAAUUCUGAGUUGCAAAGGAUUCGGGGCUGUUCAAGUGUGGACUUGACAAUCGGGGAUUGGAAAGGUAAGUUCAACUUUCAUGUUGUUGCCUUAGAUGAUUUUGACUGCAUUCUUGGUAUUGAUUUUAUGGUGAAGACCAAUACUGCUGUCAUGAUGCACCUUGGUGGUGUUAUGAUUUGGGACACGGGGUGUCCAUGUUUUGUGAAGGCUGUUCCGAAUAAGGUUGAUAAGGGUAAACAGAAGAUAAGCAAGUGUGGGGCUGUUCAGGUUCUUGUGGGCGACAUAAUCUGUGGGAUUGAGCCUAGGGUGGGCGAGUCACUUGAGCUUGAUAGUGUGCUUGAUGGUUUUCUGGUUGGACCCGAGUCAAUGUCUCCAAGGGUUGGGGACACAGCUGGGACUUAGACUAUUUUGAGGGGUAGUGUAGGUGGCGGGGCGCCUGCACUUAGUCAUCAGUGAGGCAUUGGUGACUUGGAUGUAAAAAGAAAAGUUGGGAACUUUGUAAGGUUAGCUGAGCUUAUGGUAGCUGAGUUUAUUGAGUAGCAAGGCAGCAGAUGGACUUGUAGCCUCGGGUUUGGGGUGUUGGUUUGCUACAUUUGGGAGACGGAUUUCUCAAGAUGGUUUUGGUUUUGAUGAGGACAUCAAACUCUCAGUGGUGGGAGGGUUUGUAAGACCCUUGUGUGGUUUUAUCGAAUUUUGGACUUGGAGUGUUGGGGCGACUCCAAGGGCGGUCGCUGAGCUGGGCAGCGACCAGGCGCAGGUAGAGCGCAGGUAGGGCGCUGGUGGGCGACGGCGCCUGAAGGGUGGAAUUAACCCGGGCUGAUGGAUGCUUGGGGUAAAUUGUGGGAAUUUAAGUGCUAAAGAGUUGGAGUCUUGGGCUUAGUAAAUUGGGCAGGAUGCUCAGGCCAAGUGAGGGAUGCACUUGGGCCAAAGUUGGAGUUGCGUGCAUAGGCGCUCGGGCUGCGUCCUAUGGGCGUCUGGACACUAUUGCUAAGUGUUUGUGGGCUAAAUCAGAUGGACUUGAAGGCCCAAAUUGGUGGGUUAAUGUGGGCUGAGUUGGAUGGCUAAAAAGAAGGCUGAGUGGGGCAAAGAAACUGCUUGGAACUGCUCAUAACCGCUGGUAACUGCCACAACUGCUCUGCAUAGGCGCUGGAGCCCUUGGGCGCGCGGGAAACGCCUUGGGGGCGCCUGGAGUGUAUUUAAAAUAUUUAGAUAGGCAUUCUAAAUAUUGUGGAUGAUAGUACUUGGUGUACUAGGCUAUUUUACAAGUUCAAACGGACCUGCACUUGUAAUAUUUUGUAUGCUAGGCAGUAGGCAAGUCUGUAAGCAUAUAUUUGGGUUGUAUCCUUGAAUUGUUGGGGCAAUAAAAGGUUGGGCUAGUUUGCCUGUAUAUUGUUGUUAUGUGUUUACAUUUGCUUGGUAAUUAAACACACUUGCACACACGGGGUUGUGUUGGGGAAAGGCUGACUGUUCUUAGACUCGGAGGCGCUACGUGGACGCAACAGGGGCAUUUCGUGGACGCUCGUGGGCAUUCUGUGAGCGCUGUGUUAAGGGCAGGCCGCGCAGGGGCAAAAAGUUAAGGGUGAGAACUUACCCCUGUGACAC